This is a long non-coding RNA of Gallus gallus (chicken), 1823 nucleotides long. Lineage: Eukaryota; Metazoa; Chordata; Aves; Galliformes; Phasianidae. The record is from Ensembl.
CUUGAGUGUCACUUUGAAUGAGUCAGAGAGGAUAACGAGCUGGUGCAGGAGAAUGUGUGAUGUGAUAUCAUGUCUUUUCAUGUGCUUCUCAGUUCUACCAAGGUUACUUCUUUAUGAAUAAUCAAGAAUGGAAAAGAUGUAAAGAUUGGACUCUGAAGUAAACAGAAAGCUUACUCAACUCAUACCACUACACUCAUUAGGACAGGUGUUUGAAAUACGCCUGCAAUGCAUGCUUUCUCUUGAAGAUGGACUGCACUGAGCUGCCUGGAGGAAUGAAACUUGCUUGUCCUGGCUUUUCUCAGUGUACUUUGAAAGACGUGGGAGGGGGACAUCAGGGUGCUCAGAUCUGAGUACCUUCCCUUGUUAGUGCUGUAAGUUCUUUCUUAGCAGAGGAAACUGUGACCAAGUGAAUAUAUGUCAUUAUCUCAAAUGAAACAUGAUUGUAUUUCCUAUUUUUUCUAACAGCACAGAGGUCAUUCUAGACAUUUCCAAUCCUGUAAGUUCAUCAAUUUCAUCAGUUCUGACCUUUCCUUCAUUUUUUGUUACUGCAACUGUAUCUCAGCUUAGGCUAGCGGAUGCUUCACUUGUCAUUUUUGUCCCUGGCCCAUGGAGACAACUGAGAUCCAGGCACUCAAAAACCCAGCACGGACGUGCACUCUGCUGUUCAAGCUGGUUCCAGGCAUACAAGGAUAUAAGCAUGAAAAUGAUACUGUUCUAUACAUACCUGUUACCAAAAAGUAAUCUCAAUCAUCUUUGAACUGGUGACCAAAACUCUAAGCAUGUAAUAAUUUAACUUGCUUUAUUACAUAAUAAUAAUUUAAGAUAAAUCAAAAUUUGUUAAAAUUUAUUGAGUAAAAUUUCCAGUGGGUGUUUUUUCCUCCAGGAAAUGUAAGGAGUUCUGCAACAUGAAAAUGGGUUGAAAAGCCUCUAUCUAAAGACAUACCUCUGUGCCACAUAUUUUCUUCAGAGCUACCGAUAUGUUCUGGUGUUACUUAUGAUAGAGUUUCCAUCCAGAACUUGUCUGAAAUCUCACAGCAAACUGACAGAAGCCGUGGGAGAAACUGAUCGAUAAUUCCCAGUAUAAUUUGUGAUAUACUGCUGCAUGACAGUGAAAUUAAAAUGUUAUUGAAUUAGAGAAAAUAUUUGAUUGGUAUAAGUGAGUAUUUGGCCAGAAUUUGACCUGUGGAAAGCUGGAUAAAGGUGGUAUCACAGUAGUUUUGAAGAAGUAAAAAACAUUUUUUAAAUAGUUCUGUUUACUGAAUACAAAGGAUUUAACGCUAUCUUAAAAGUGAAUAAAAAAUAAAAAGCACCUCUCUCACCUGACUCUCAGACAGCGUGAUGCUGAAGAGGAGGUGCCACCAGGGCUGGCAUGCAUGCUGCAGGCUGCUGAGGAGGGCAGGAGUAAAUGGUACUGGUGCCAUGUCUGCUGGCCACGUCUACAUCUCGAGAGGUGGAAGGCAGUGUGGAGCACGGAGCUCAGCAGAAACCUGACCGAGUUUUGCCUGUGGUCUUUUUUUUUAAUAGGUCUGCUUCAGACUUAUACAGAUUUCACUGUAAUUGCUAGUCAUGACAGUCUUCAAAUGCUGAAGGUGAUCAAAGGCAUCAGCUUAAAAAUACAAAGCUGGCAUUACAAGGAAGUGAUUUAACCUCUCUCGGUAGGCAGGUGUGUGUUGGGAGCAGAGAGGGGUUCAUUGCUUCAGGCAUCUAAAUUGCAGCUGUAGUGAAAAGCAGCAAUUUGUCUAAAUCCAUGACAAAAAUCCUUCUAAACUGUCCUAACAGAUCUGCUCUGUAACCUGACUGUACGGGGAAAGAAUAAUUUUAAA